UGGGGAAUCUUGCACAAUGGGGGCAACCCUGAUGCAGCGACGCCGCGUGAGCGAUGAAGCCCUUCGGGGCGUAAAGCUCUUUCGACCGGAACGAUAAUGACGGUACCGGGAGAAGAAGCUGCGGCUAACUACGUGCCAGCAGCCGCGGUAAUACGUAGGCAGCAAGCGUUGUUCGGAGUUACUGGGCGUACAGAGUGCGUAGGCGGUUUUCUAAGUUCGGUGUGAAAUCUCCCGGCUUAACUGGGAGGGUGCGCCGAAGACUGGGAAGCUGGAGUGUGGGAAAGGCAGGCGGAAUUCCUGGUGUAGCGGUGAAAUGCGUAGAUAUCAGGAGGAACACCGGCGGUGUAGACGGCUUGCUAGACCAUAACUGACGCUGAGGCACGAAAGCGUGGGUAGCAAACA
This 402-nucleotide ribosomal RNA is filed under the name uncultured bacterium. Its description in RNAcentral is "bacterial SSU rRNA". It matches the Rfam family "Bacterial small subunit ribosomal RNA", at positions 355 to 774 of the family's 1533-position model. The record is from RNAcentral.